Molecule: RNA transcript, 2704 nt
Organism: Paramacrobiotus metropolitanus
Lineage: Eukaryota; Metazoa; Tardigrada; Eutardigrada; Parachela; Macrobiotidae
Exons: 6
Source: RefSeq, a predicted model, not a curated record
GUGCGCUGCAAUGAUUCUGUCAUCGUUUUCGGACGCGUUCGAAUGCUAUCGGAGGAAACGACUGAAGCCGUUGCGGACACACUAACUGUUAACAAGAGUCUCAAGGCCCUGCUGAAAUUGGGAGAUCAUGUUGUUUCCACUGACGUAAUGAAUUGUUUAGCAGGGUCGGACGAUGCAACGAGUACUUACGGUUUACAAAAGAUCUGUGAUUUAGACGCUGCAGUCAUUGACAACGGUUCACGUGAUGUUGAAACGCAGUGCCGAAAUGUGAUCGCUGGCGCCAAACGAAUUAUAACACAUCUCGAACAAGAACAGGAUGCAACGUUUGUGGACAGUGAUAAUGGAUUUAACGACGAUGAAGAUGAACAGUGUCAACGUCAAAAGAAACUCUUAUGCGUCUUUCGAUUUGUUGCUGAAUUAAUGGAGCUCUCUAUUACCAGAUGCCGAAGAGCUAUUCGACAUUCUGAUGCUCUUAUACGAUUUUGCGGCAUGCUUAAAAGUAUUUCGACAGCGGCAUACAAUUAUUUUCGGAAUUUUCUGUUUGGACUUCUUCCCCAUAUUAACCACCUACAAAACUGCGCUUCUGUAAAUUCCUAUUCGGAAGGUAUUCAGGAUGAAAAUUUGGCCAAAUUGAAGAAAAUCUCGGAAUCCGUUGAAGAUCGCCAUUUGGAUGUUGAACUUAUCAGCGACCAAACAUUCACCGACGAGAAACUGGAGUAUCGCGGAGGAGAAAUAAUCGGGGUUGCAAAAAACCAGGAGGACGUUGUCGCUGCGAAACAUGUUUUGCUCUUGAUUAUUCAAAGUUUCACUGGAAAAGUUCGUAAAGUCGUCGCAUAUUAUUUUGUUAAAAAUCUGAAUGGGGCUGAGAUGGCUGAAAUUCUGGAAGCGGUCUUGAACUCAAUAUCAAAAAAUACGAAAUUCCGGGUUCUGGUGUGUUCGUCGGAUAACGGAGCCGAAAACAUGGGAUGCCAUUCGCGCUUUAUAAGCGACAAGACGAAGUUUCCAUGGACUUUUCCCCAUCCUUGUGCUGACGGAAGUAUUGUAUAUGUAUUAUUGGACAUCGUGCACUUACUCAAACGAAUUUGGACGAACUGUAUUCGGGAAAAUAAUUCGUUCGUUAUAGAGGUUGGAACUCGUCGGGUAGACUUAACGCUACUUUUGCAGAUAUACGAAAUAGAACGCGGUUCCGUCAUAAAAAACGCGCCGGAUUUGACAGCUAAAUUAUUUUAUCCGAACGGGUUUGAAAAAAUGGAUGUAUCGAAUGCGGAAAAAAUUUUUUGUUCUGACCGGACUUUGGGGACACUGCAGAUGCUGCUGCGAGAUCAGAACAUCCACUCCUAAAAGAAUUAGCCAAUGUGCGCAGCGAAACUCGAGACCAGUGCGUAAAGUGCUUGGAUGUACUCGUCUGGUUCAUUCAGACUGUGCAAAGAAUUGUCAUGCCUCUUACUGUACUGAAUCCUCGUCAAGCUGCUCGUCUAAAGCAGCCGCUUUACGAAGCUGUUACAAAGGGCAACAUCGAUCGCAUUUUCUCUGACAUGAAAGUAGCAUUGUCUGAGCUCCGUCCAUCGACGAACGCCAGGAAAUCGUUGCCCCGACCGACGUGGACUGGUCUGCACGUUACCGUGUACGGCACAGAAGAAGUUGCCAGAAAGCUGUUGCACGCCGGUUUUGAGUUUGUUCUUCCCGGAAAAAUGUCUAGUGAUCCAAUAGAGAGAAUAUUUUCUGCGUUCAAAUAUGGUUCUGGAAAGGUAACAGUUGGGAAAGUGAAAGAAGAAGUUGCAAGGAUGGAAACAUUACAGCAUCUGACGGGAACAACAAACGUCAGCCGCAUGGGACGACAAAAGAGAAAAAAUACCGGUCUGACUUUUUCCACAUCCCCAUUGAAAAAGAAACGCCAUAUUGACCGGCCGCUGCGCACGAAAGUUUUCAGCUUUGAAGCAGAUAUCGGAUACCUGCGUGCGUUAGGCGAGUUGUCUGCACAUGUGCCGUCAGAUAUAUUUUCCGGACUCCAAAAAAUCGAUCCUCGGCUCUGGAGCGCAGCGACAAUUGCAGAUCUUGUUACAGCAGAUCCGUAUACGAUUUUCAGUUGCAGAAAAGAUGUCGUAGGGACUGGCUUGACUGAUGUUGGCGGAUAUAUUGUUUCAAAAAUGCAAAAGGGAAAGUUUCCGUGCUCUUCGUGCAAAUCUGGUAUCGGAAAUCUUCUGGGUGUUUGUUUUUCGGAAACCGGCGGGUUAGUUGAAGCACGAUCUCGGGUUGAAUUUGGUGGCUUAAGUUUACCUUCCCCGCAGUUGGGCAAACUGCUGCAUUAUGCGCUUGGAUUUUUUGAGCGUUUGCAAAAAAUCAGCGAAUUUUAUAAAGGCGACAGCCAUUUGGAAAGGGCACUCAAACUCAUUCUCCUCUCGAUGGAUCUCCACGGCUUUCAUCCUCUUAGUGAUAUUUGUGUAUGUGAAUCGACGAAGUAUUUAGAGUAUGAAUGUCUAAAGCGGUUCUUUAACACUGCGUUUAAAAAUGAUGUGAUUGAGCGCCGAGCCGAUGCUGUGAAGAAAAAGUAUGGUGCUCGGAAGUCUGUACCGAUGUCGACUGAUCCUGGUAAAUUGAAAAAAUUAAAGCAGCUAUAAGCCUAUAGCAGUCACUGUUGACACUUCUUCCGUUUAUUGCUAGGCUUACUUUUUUUUAAAUUGUUAAUUAAUUUUAACCAAAAAAU